GGCCGCAUGUCUCGAUAUUGCGAAACUCAUCAUUCAAUAUAAUUCCGAGACUUAGUUCAUCAGUUGAUGGCGGGCCGCACUGCCUUCGGGUGGAGACUGUUUACAGUCCGGCGGAUUACAAAGAUUGUUUGAACACUCAAACCCUGUCUUCCGGAGUUUAGAUUAUCCAGACUGCGGCUACUUUA
Molecule: small RNA, 185 nt
Filed under: Porphyromonas crevioricanis
Lineage: Bacteria; Pseudomonadati; Bacteroidota; Bacteroidia; Bacteroidales; Porphyromonadaceae
Description: Bacteroidales-1 6S-Bacteroidales RNA suggested
Rfam family: Bacteroidales-1 6S-Bacteroidales RNA suggested
Source: Rfam by way of RNAcentral